This 73-nucleotide transfer RNA is filed under the name Cercopithecus campbelli (Campbell's monkey). RNAcentral's name for it is "tRNA-Asn". It matches the Rfam family "tRNA". From Rfam's summary of the family: Transfer RNA (tRNA) molecules are approximately 80 nucleotides in length. Their secondary structure includes four short double-helical elements and three loops (D, anti-codon, and T loops). Lineage: Eukaryota; Metazoa; Chordata; Mammalia; Primates; Cercopithecidae. The record is from RNAcentral.
UGGAUCAAAGCCAGUUGAUUAGGGUGUUUAGCUGUUAACUAAANUUUUAUGGGUUUGAGUCCCAUUGGUCUAG